RNA transcript from Venturia canescens, 2749 nucleotides. It is a transcript of the gene named AP-1 complex subunit sigma-2, with no coding region annotated. The record is from RefSeq and is a predicted model, not a curated record. The transcript is spliced from 6 exons. NCBI's taxonomy places the organism in Eukaryota, Metazoa, Arthropoda, Insecta, Hymenoptera, Ichneumonidae.
CAGUAGCAUAUAUCUGUAUUAUUUUGUCGUGGCUAUAUUUCCGCGGUGCUUUAGUACCAAUCUCGACUCGAGUUGAGUUUUCUAAGGUUGUAAUAUCACACUGAAAAAAAAAAUUGUCGGGGUUCACGUCAAACCACUUUGGCGUGAUGCUUUCGAAAGUGUGAGGAUUUACUUUCAUCUACGGAUGGGCGGGGCCUAUUUUAUUUGUACAAUCGUACAAUUAUUGUUAUCGAAAUUUUCAAUGCUGUGUGAGUGACAUAGAAAUAUAUUUGAUAUCGCUCGCAUCAAUUAGCUAGCGAAUGGUCGAGCGCUACCACGUACGUGUCAAAAAGAAAAAAAAAUGACGAUGCAUUAAUAAGGUGGCGUCAGAUACCUGUGAUAUUUCAUUGACGACGGUGCGGAUAAGAAACGAGAUUUGAUUAAGAGUGUUAGUGAUACUAAGCGGCGGUGGAGUUCUCAAAUCGAAAAUAUGAUGCAGUUCAUGUUGUUGUUCAGCCGUCAAGGCAAGUUACGAUUGCAAAAAUGGUACGUUGCUCAUCCUGAUAAACUGAAGAAAAAAAUAACGAGAGAAUUGAUAACUACAAUACUUGCUCGAAAACCUAAAAUGUCCAGUUUCUUGGAGUGGAAAGACGUUAAAGUUGUUUACAAAAGAUACGCAAGUUUAUACUUUUGUUGCGCCAUAGAACAAAACGACAAUGAGUUACUGACUCUAGAGAUCAUCCACAGAUACGUAGAAUUAUUGGACAAAUAUUUUGGAAGCGUGUGCGAAUUGGACAUAAUCUUCAACUUUGAGAAGGCCUAUUUUAUCUUGGAUGAGUUGUUGGUGGGAGGAGAAAUACAAGAAACGAGUAAGAAGAACGUGUUGAAGGCGAUAGCCGCUCAAGAUCUACUCCAGGAGGACGAAGCUGUCGAAGGUGCUCUGCGGGAAAUAGGGCUUUUAUAGGCGCCCCGAUCCUCCGUGUGUCCCUACCAUCGACCAAACUGACCACCAACAACCACCAACUUCGACAACAAAAUCUCAUCUGCUGAACGAUGCCGUCGCACAUCUCCACUUUCUCGAGGAAACUCCUCAAGGAUUCUUCGAGGAUCAUGGACUCGGUUAAUUCGCGGGAGACUAAACAACGAUCUACGAAGCAUUCUGACCAAUCUGCUGUGAAGACGGACUAUGGAAGAGCGUCCUUAAAGAGGGGAGGGGUCAUCUUCAAGCAAAAUUCCAUCGACUACAGGCGCCGCUCUCGUUACAUAGGCUUUUAAAUGUUAUUCCUCGCAUCACUAUGCAAAACUAUCGAGUUAAUAUUGUUUUUAUCCUUUUUUUAAUCUCAUCUCGCUCUUGAAUCGCGCGUCGAAAAAAUUUGUUAAAACGACUGAUAAUUUGCCAAAAAAUAACUCCAGCAUCGCUUCGUUCGGAGUCGCGGUCGUCGCGCGUCGUACGAAACAAAAUUCAUUCCCAUUUUUUACCCUUUUCGUUGUUUCGUUCCACCGUUGUGGCAGCGCACUUCUAUUAUUUCUCUCGUUAAUUAGGUUUUCAUUGGCACGCUAAAGUUAAGGAUCGCACGCUUGCUUAUUUUGAUAAUGAGUUGCAUCGAAUCGUCCGUAAAUAUAUCGCACUUGACAUCACGCACAAAUUUCUAUUCGCUGACUUUCCAGCACUUCUUGCCCCGAUCAGAAGCUUCAUAUUUCUGUAAACGAGCCGAUUUUUAUUCUAUUUCACAAUUCUAUUGUAUUCGGGAAUUCACCUUCGAAAUACGAUAUCUUGCCUUUUUCCAUUCAUUUUGUAUUUUCGUGACGAUUUAAUUCCGUAGAAAUAUUGCGAACGAACGAGAAAAUAACAAUGCAGUUCAGGCUCGAAUAAAAUCGGCUCGGUUCGUUCAACGAGCAAUCAAAAUCUUCAUUAAAAACGAAUUAUUUGCCAGCAACCUUUUUCUAAGUCGAGUCGGUUGAAAAAUGCAAAACGCGUACUUAAUUGAACUUUUCGAAUAAAUAUUUUUUAGGAUUUCAAACAAUAGUUACUUUUCGACCAAAUUACACAAAUAAAAAUAAACUACGACCAUUUCGAUUACCGACACACUGUCGCCGAAGUGACAAUUCCGGAGCGUAUACGAGACAUAUCCAAAAAAAAUAUUAAUCACUCUUCACCGUCAUCGAUUUUGGGUUGAACCGAGUUUGCAGUUUAAAAGCCCGCCAGAAGAUCGUACUUGAUUGUUGUUGUUGUUGUUUUUUUUUUUUUUUUUUUUUUUUUUUACAAUACUCGCCUUGUCCAGUAAGAACCUCCAAAUGUAAGUUUUAGUGUGAAAAAAAUACUCUCUACCUCCCUGGCUCUGAAAAUAUUCGCACAUUUUUUCGUACAAACGUCGACUAGGUGUACGUUAGGUUUGAUUUUGUCUCGUAAGUAAAGUUGAACAAAUGAUAAAGGUGCGCGACCAUUGUUUAGAGCCGAGACUCGAAACCGACGAGUCGGUAGCUAAAGAGAAACUAGUUGUUCGAAGCAAGGCGUUACUAGUGUGCUAUCCAUUACAGAGUUCAAAUCGAUCAUUCGUGAAUCAAAAACCGUUUAUAUACGAUAAAUAGUUCAUGCUUUAUGCUCCGUCCACGAUUAUCGUAAUGUUAUUAUUAUUACGAAUAUUAUUAUUACUAUCAUUAAUCUUAUCAUCACCGUCAUCUUUAUAAUUAAAUAGUAAAAUAUCAACAAUAAAGGUUAUGAUGGCAAACGAGUUGAAAAAAUAGAAAAGAAAAAUAUUAGAAAACUUUA